GUUAAUGUAGCAUAACCUGGACUUGCAAAAGAUCUAAGCCCUUUUAGUAGAGGUUCAAAUCCUCUCAUUAACU
RNAcentral lists this transfer RNA (73 nucleotides) under Aplastodiscus ibirapitanga. RNAcentral describes it as "tRNA-Leu". It matches the Rfam family "tRNA". Rfam says of the family: Transfer RNA (tRNA) molecules are approximately 80 nucleotides in length. Their secondary structure includes four short double-helical elements and three loops (D, anti-codon, and T loops). Further hydrogen bonds mediate the characteristic L-shaped molecular structure. tRNAs have two regions of fundamental functional importance: the anti-codon, which is responsible for specific mRNA codon recognition, and the 3' end, to which the tRNAs corresponding amino acid is attached (by aminoacyl-tRNA synthetases). tRNAs cope with the degeneracy of the genetic code in two manners: having more than one tRNA (with a specific anti-codon) for a particular amino acid; and 'wobble' base-pairing, i.e. permitting non-standard base-pairing at the 3rd anti-codon position. The record is from RNAcentral. Lineage: Eukaryota; Metazoa; Chordata; Amphibia; Anura; Hylidae.